RNAcentral lists this long non-coding RNA (32759 nucleotides) under Gallus gallus (chicken). Lineage: Eukaryota; Metazoa; Chordata; Aves; Galliformes; Phasianidae. The record is from RNAcentral.
CCAGAGCAUCUUAUAGCUGGCAGAGUAAGGAGAAAAAAUAUAACCUUUUUUCUUUUACUUUGCUUCUAAAUAUUCUUUUAGAAAACAUACAACAAAUUUUAAUGUAGGUCAGUGAGAGUUUUAACAAUAAAAUGUUGGAGUCUUUUGUCACUUUUAGGCCUUUUUAAAGUAGUCCUGGCUCAAGAAUAACAAGAUAGAAGGCUUUUGGUUAUUACUCACUGUCUUCAGAAGUACUUUUACUUGUUUUAGUGGUUUCUAAUUAAAAUAGUAGUAAAAAAUGUCACCGUAGAGGUAGUGGUUUUAAUCUCACCUUGAAUGCUGGGACCUAAAGAAGAGACUGUCAGGAUCUAUGAGACCAGUUAAUCCACCUCCCAGCUGGAAACUAUGAAGAUUUAAUGCCUUCAUUAGUACUUAUUGAUCGGAUUCCUUGUUUCUGUAUUAUCAGCAAACUCCUGUGCAGUUGAGCUGUACUUCUCUUAACAAAGUUUAUUCAGCUGUUAAUAAUUCCAGCAUUCUUCCUUCCUCUUACCCUUCCACUUGCAUUAAAAAAAAAAAAAAAUCCCCUGAAGUCAUGCCAGAAAUAGUUCCUAAAGGAAAGAAAAACUUUUUCAUCCUAAGUUCUAAUAACUUUGUACAGAAAGCUUGUGUCUCUCAUUAGCCCGAUUCAUCUUGAACUGUACCUCCAAAAUAGCAGCCUUGUUUGACUGCUGACAAGCAUUGCUAUGUCUACCUUAAUAAUACAGUUUACUUUGCUUCACCCUGCGGGGUAAUUUCCUAAUUGGUAGGAGAGAUGCACCUUCCUUUGCCCGAAGUAUCUUAGUAGACUUUCUCCAACACUGGGGUGUUCAGCUGGUUCAGAGAAUAGGAUGCUUAGUGGGACUGUGGUGGCCAAGUGUGUAUCCUGUUUGUUCUUUUGUACUUUGCUUCACGGCCUAUUUUUUAUUUCCCGAUUGUGUUUGUUUCAUAAUGUCUUAUUUACUUAAGGCUGCUGAAGCUGUGACCCUCUGUUCUAAUUGUCUUCAAAUGUAUUCCUGUGUGCCUCUGUAUUCCAGCAGCGAUUCUUUUUUUCCUAACACAUUGCAGAUAAAUUUAUGAGAAAUCAUUCUUACGCUGUUCUUUGUUUUUACUUUCGUGCAUAUAUAGAUAGUUUGAAAACUUCUCCAGAAUGAUUUCUUUUAGGGAGCACAGCUCUGUCAUCUGCGCUUUCUUUGCAUCGUUUUCUUUUCCUUUCAGUUCUAUCUGUAUUUUCAGCUCCUUGUCCACCCAUCAGCUUAUUUUAGCCAAUGUUUCCUUCUUGAUCGCUGAAUUGUGUCACUCUUGUUCCUUCCUGCAGCCUGCCUGUGUCUUACCCUGUUGUUUUUACAACGUUCUUGCUUUCCACGACUCCUUGUUUGUUUGAAGGCAGACCACCGCCAUUACUCUAGUUUGGGUGUAGUUCACUUUGUACUACCUGUUGUCUUUUGUUGUUUUUUUUUCUUCCCCGUAACUCUAAAUUUUACACAGCAGUUUUAAAACUCUUCCUAUGUCUUCUGUAUUUGCAGUGACUCAUGGUAUUUCCUAAUCUGCCACUUUCUGCCCAGCCCUAAGUGUGAUGUCAGUAGAGUUUUUUUCUAUUUUUUUUUUUAAGUGAACAUAGAACUGAUGAAAGUUGCUGUUUGAUGUAACAGGAAGCUGAACUAAUCUGUUCUCAAAACAGGCACUGCCUCAGCCAGUGCACUCAGGUUUCAUCCUGCCAAGCUCCCGUGUCUCGCACUUGUGAGCAAAUCGCUUUUCUCUGCAAGUGCCUGGCUGUUUUUUUCCUUCAGGCAUCAGUUUUCACUGGUGAGGACUCCUGGGAGAGCUGUCUUCUCAUGACUCUCACCUGAAGCGUAGCUCUCUGGCCUUCAGUUCAUGGUCAUGAAUGCAAGAGGGUCUUGGGAUUAGAGGUGCCCUUUUAAGAAACGCUUUAAAGAGGCUGGGGAGCAUGGGUGACCUGCAGUCUCAGAGAGCAACAUGCUCCCUUUACAACUCCUGGCAUAGCUCUUGUUGUGGUGAAGAAUAGGAUGAUCUUGUGUGUUGUAGGGACAUUCAUUGGCUGCUCAGGAAUAGGAAUGUGCUUGCAGAUUGCCUGUUUCUUUCAAACCUUUUUUGGACUUUUGUUGGCUCUGUACGCAGCACUUACACUUUUAAGCAGAGAGAGACUGUGGGCUCCAGCUCUAGCCCUGUCCAUUCUGCUUGAUUUUUCAGUGUGCUUCCUGGUCCAGCCUUGACCUGUGCUUAAGUGUCUACUUGAGAGCUGGGAGGAAGCAAAGGGUGACUGCUCCCAAAAGGCAGGGGGAAUAGCGCUCUUCUCUCCUGGCCUCCUGCAUGUAGAAGGAUUGGCUAUGUGGACACAAGCUGCAUUAUGCCCCUUUAUUGUGUGGUUUCAGAACAGCUCUAGCAUGAUGCAUUUACUUGUACACAGACAUUGCCAUAUGGACCAGCAGGGGAGUCUUUGUACUGCUUGUGGCACUCGGGCAGAUCGUGUUUGUAUGGACCUUGUUCUUAGGACUUGGUGACAGGAUCUACGGUGUCUUGAAUGAAAGAUGUGCCCAGUACUUUUGGGGACCAUUGCUGGACGAUGUGGCUUGCUGCCUGACUGCAAGUAUUUAGCAUGUCUGUGCUUUUUUCAGCUUGCUGUUUUGGAGGGCUUCUUAGAAGUUGUGGAAGUUUGUAAAUGAGUGCAUAUAGGUUAAGGAGAAGAUGCAGUUUGUCAUUUACCAGGGAUGACUGAAGAGCAUGUGUUGAUAGUGUCUAUCUUAUGUUGAAGAAGAAUGAUGGAGGCAUAUCCAUCUAUGGCAGUAGCAUCAAAGGGGUAGAAACAGAAAGAAGACUGGAAUGGUAAUAGACGUUUAAGAUUUUUAUUGCUCAAAGGAAUGUGAUUACAAAAGAAGAAAAUGUUCAUCCUUAUAGGGAAAGCUAUGAGAGGUUUCUUUUUGAGUAGAUGAAAAACUAGCUCCUUAAAUAUCUCUCAGCAAAUCGUUGGAUUUUGAAGAAGUGUUUUCAAGGAUGUUUAAGAUUUCACUGAAAUAUAAGAUUCAGGGCUUUUAAAGUAUUUUUUUUUUAUCUUUCCUUUUAAUGUCACAAAUAUUUUCUUUCUGCUUAACUGUUUUUUCCCUUCUUUUCAUUAACAAUAUAAAGGGCAUCUGGUGAAUCUUACGUAUUUGGUGAAUGUACUUACAGAUAACCUUUUAAUUUAUUCCUUCACUUUCUGUGCUUUACUGUUACUUCACUGACUGGCUAAGUGCUGUUUGACAAUCUCAAGACACGUCUUUUACCAUUAUUUUCUUAGGUCACUGAAAGUUUUACUGUUCUGUCUGGUGUUUUACUGUAAGCUUGACUUGUAAUUUAAUAGCUUAUCUACCUUGUUCCUGUGUGAGUCCCACCCCCACUCCCCAACAGUUUAUUAAAGCAUAAAUCUGGCUACAUGCAGGAGUGCCUGUCCUUUCUCUAUGUCUCUUAGCAUGAGUAGUCUCGGGUGGCUCUAGCCAUGACUAUGCUGUGAGCAUAGCUAGCAUCACUGUGAUGGGAUACAUUUGCUGAUGGUAACCUUGUCUGGGACAAACCUCGAUUCUUGUUGACAAGAUGAUGUUGAAGUUGUUACUUUGAUUUGGAUGCAAGACUGAUAUUUUGUUUGUUUUCGUUCAUUGAGCUAUGUGUACUUUUUUUUUUUGUUGAACCAUUCUUGUAGCACUUUGCAGAUUCUUGUUUUAGCAACCUUGCAUCUGAAUCAAAGCUCCUAGCCAUUCUGCAGUGCCAAGACAUGCUUCUCCCCUAGCACUUCUGAAAUGGGGUUUUUGAAUUUCUUGUUUGACAACAGUUCUUCUGGUGCUUAUGGAUCUGGAAGGAGGAAUGGUAAGGAAGCUGAAAUCUGCUCUUUCUAUAUAUAUCAUGAUGAAAAAGAGAACAUAAGAACAGAUGCCCAAUUAUAUUAGGAAAUAUCAUAAAAAAGACUCUUGUUAAAACAUGAAGUGGUAAGUGCAAAGUGGCUUAUGCUUUGUUUAGAUAUAGAAUCAUUAAGGUUGGAAAAGACCUCCAAGAUCAUCUAGUUCAACUGUCCACCUACCACUAAUAUUUCCCACUGAACCAUGUCCCUUAGUAAGACAUCUACGUGUUUCUUGAAUGCCUCCAGGGACAGUGACUCUGCUGCCUUCCUGAGCAGCCCAUUCCAAAGCCUGACCGCUCAUUCUGAAAAGAAAUUUUUCCUAAUACCCAUCCUGAACCUCCCCUGAUGCAACUAGAGGCCAUUCCCUCUAGUCCUAUUGCUAGUUAUGUGGGAGGAGAGGAUGACCCCCAGCUCACCCCAACCUCCUUAUAUAGAGAUGUCCUGUGCUGAACUGCAUAUUUCUGAAGAAUGCAAAUGGCAUUACUCAAAUACAAGACUGUCCACUAAUUGGAGGUAUGGCAGUAGUUGGAGAUAAUCUGAAAUAAUGACAACAUCAUGUUACUGAUCCAAGGAGAAAGUUGCCAUAGCUUCCAGUGACUUCAUUUACUGUUGUGUUUAUAAUUUUCCAUAAAUGGGUUCCAGACGUGGGGAAUCUUGGACUUUUGAAUGAAAAACAGAACGAUGCAUCAUUCAGUUCAAGGUCAUCAAUGAAAGGAGUUUAAAUGUGCUUUUAUUAAAACCACAAAGUGAGGUAUUGAUAAGUUUUGCUUAGACCUGCUCUUGCUGCCACAUCUCUAAGAUAAAUUUUCAUUAAAACAAGGAUCACUCUUUUAAUAAAUAACGUUGUAUUUGCUGAGAAAGAGCAAGAACAAUUAAGACAACGGAUUUUACCACUGACAAUAAGAUUUGGGAGGAAAAAAAGAUGGAAGAGAAGACAGAGAAGAGAAGGUAUCUUUCAAAUGCUUCUAGACUGUAAUUCAUUGUUUUCUAGCCUUUUAUCAUUUUCUGUCACACAAAGUCUGUAUUAUAAAUGCUAAAAUUUGCAGCUGUUUUACUUCACCCUUUGUUAUGAAUUUAUCUGCAGAAGCAACACAACUUCUUUCUUUUUUGUAUUUACUCCUAUUGUGCUGCAACCAGUGCAGUAGGUUAAGAAGUGAAGUAUUACAUUGUGCUGAGGGAGGGCUUCUGUUCUGCAAAGGGAUAUUUUUCGUAGAUGUUUCCUAACUCAAACCUGCAUCUUUGCUUCAGUUGAGAAAUCUUUGUGAAGUUACUUCAGAGCUAUUGAACUUCAAAGUGAUAGUUAUCUCUUUAGGAGGAGGGUGGUCAGUAAAGGGCAAAAGUAAGGAGAAAUAGAUGAGCAUGUUUGAAAUCAUGGAAGUAAUGGUGAAAUAAUGUAUCUUCAGUCUGUGUGUUAGUUGCUGAUCCCUUCCUGCGUUGCUAUUCAGAAUAUGCACUGUCAUUUGCAUGUGAAAGCGUGGGUAACAGUGGCUUCCUGUCUUUUAUUGCUAGACAUUACACACGUUCCUUUACUAGUGUUUGUCUUUUGGCUGUGAAGCACUGCAUGGGAAGUUUUAGUCCUUCAGUCUGAUCACAGUAGUAUCAGCUGAUGCACAUCUCAGUGAGCCUUUUGAAUUCAGUUUUGGGAUUUUUUUUUUAAUUAUUAUUUUUUAGCAGUUAAUUUCUAUUUGAUACUUGUUUGGUAAUAAUGCUGGACUAAAAACAAUUAGCUAUGCAAUAAUGGGUUACUUUGGGAAAACACUGUAAUACAGAUACUGUCAUCUUAGUGCUGUAAUGCUUUCUUUUUUUGGAGCAGUGCAUAAUUUGGGUACCACCCAAUCAGUACUGCUCUCCUAUUUUAUGUCUUCAUGUUUUCAGUUAUUUUGCAUGGCUUAUCUGUUGGAACUCUGGGAAUGUGCUCAUCUCUGCACCUGCGAUGGAGCGGUUGAAGGUAAAGGAACUGAAAGACAAAGGCCACUAACUUCUAAAAACCAAGCAGCUCAGUGGAUACUAGUUAUUCUGAUGUCUGGAUGUUCCUGGAGCUUUUUCUUCUCUCUUAACUUCCUUCAACCACUUCUUUCAACCUGGCCUUUUUACCUUAAAGGAACAUCUGCUAGCUUAUAAGGUGGGCAGAGCUUAUAUUUUCUUUCAGCAGCCUUGCAUUCAUGUAUCUCUCAUCUUCAUAGCUGCUAACUCAUCAGCUACGUGUAUAAUUGAGUCAGAUUUGAUAGGAAGUGAUCAUGAGGUCAAAAUGUAUUUGAAGGGCUGGAUUUUGCAGUUGAAAAGCCAUUAAGAGAAUCGCAUGUCUUGUUUCUUUUGACCUUCUAAAAUGGUGCGUGUGUGUGUUGCAUGUUUAUUGGUUCUCUCAGUAGUACUGAGGUACUACACCACUAAUCAUGGCUCUAAUUUCUUUGCAUUCCCAAAACUAUGUUUUAUACACUAAGCAAAGAUGCAUCAUUUCAUGGGGAGUGGUCAGUGCUGUUCUCGGUAGCUUCUUCCCUCUCCAGUGUAAUUUACCAAGGGACUCUGCAAUUGAGUCAUCGUAAUGGGAAGUGCAUCUCAACUGAUGUAAUGCAGUUGUGUUUCCUGGAAACAGAACAAAAUUGCAGCUCCGCUUAGUUUAAUGCAAGAUUUGUCAUUGAUUUCAGUUGCUGUGGUAUUUUCUUCGGUCAUUUGAUCUUUUUGUUGUAGCUGAGUGUCCAUGCCUGGUGAUCUGAUUUCCUGACAUUGGUCUCUCAAAGCAGCGGUGGAAGUUUUAAUUCACGAGGAGUAUUUAACAAAACAAGAGGGAAUUUAUUCUGAAAUAUUUCACAGCCAAAUCUGAUUUUAAUAAAACUUCUAAUUUCUUCCUCUGUAGAUUAUGCUAAGACAGGGAGUCAACUAACUGAUGUAGCAGGAGAGACUAAAUGCAUAACACUGCAUGAAUUUGAUAGAUACACUCUUCAAAUGGGUUAAAUACCUGCUAUGUAUUACUGCUGUUAGUAGUAUCUUUUCUGAUGGCAAUGUGUUGUUUCCUUUCCUAGGCAAAACUAAAAUGUGUUAAGUUGAAACAGUAUGACCUUGAUCCUGUCUGCUGCAGCACUGUUUAAUACAAAUCGCUUUACUGUAUUGUGUAUUAAUCUCCACUACCCUACCAUCAACAUCCACCUUGAUGUUGUGGGCCAACAUAAUAAAAAUAGGAGGCGUUACUUUCAGUGCAGCCCUCAUACUGCAUGCUGUAGGGCAAGGCACCCAGUGGUAAGCAUAAAUCUUGCUGGAGAAAACUUCUAGAAGUGGCUUAAAAGCAGUAGGAUAAAGUGAUUAAAUGAUUUUAUUAUAAAAACAUACUUUGUUUUGUUUAACAGCUUGAAGAUAUUUGUUCUGUUUACGGUCAUUUCAUGGCUAUUCAUUUUUCUAGGCCAAAGAUGUUUUUGCAACUCAAAUCCCAUUAAAACUCUUUAAAUGAGUGGGAUUCACUGACAAGAAUGGAACACUUGCACGCAAAUGUGUAUUCAUAUAAACAUUUCAAAUAGAUAUUUUUUUUUAAUGAGGAUGAUAUAUCUCUAGCUGCGUUUUGUGAAUUAAAUGAAGACUGAUUAAGUUUUGGAUUUGAGGAAAAUAAACUUGAAAGGACACUAUUGGGUGGUCUGAACUAAUGAAUAAGCCAUGUUAAACUAGUGAAAGCUUUGUUCUUUAUCACAGUUUGUUUUUAGAGUCUGGUGCACACAGUUUCUACUUCAUAGCAAUCUCAUCUGAAACUAUUGUCGUCCUGUUAGUUGCUUUUUUUUGUCAUUUAAAUCAUACUAAACAGUUCAGUUUUUUACAUAGCCAUUUUGAAGAGUCAUAAAUUGGCACCAGCAAGGGAACAAACUGCCUUUUGUGUUUGUAAAGAAAAUGGAAAUGAAGAGAAACGGAGGGUGUUAAAAGUGGCAAUGUGUUUUUCUAAUGCAAUUUACACAGCUCUGCUGCUCAUCUUUCCUUAUGUGCAUGUCUGACAGAUGGUGGAAAACACCUCUCCUUCACCAAGUCUGCAGUUCCUGUUUACAACAAAGAUGUCUUUACAGCAGUUUUUAAGAAAACAAAACAUUAAAUAGAGGUUGUAAAAAGGGCAGCACACAGAGUAUGUAAAAAGGGCUCUUCUGAAUCAAAAGUUGUGUUUUGGGAUUACAACAAGCUUUUUACUCCUCCAGUGUCUGUGGCAAGUAAUAACAUUACGUUAAGGACAGUGCUGUUUUUAUAGCAGUUGGAAUAUUAGAACGCACAUACAGAUCUUUUGUUCAAGUUGUGUAGGCAGGCAGCUCCUCACUUGCCCUUCAGCCAGAUGGGCAAUGUUCAGAGCUGAAAGUCCAUCAGUAUAAUUUGUUUUAUUCUGGGGGGGAUGUUUGUAGAAGCAUGCUUAGUUCAUUACGUUGAACUGCAUUUUUCUCCUUGGCAAAUGAAAAGCAAGCAGAUGCCGUAUUUCAGGAAAUGAAUGGCAUUCGGCAUAUUUCUGACUCUUUUACCUUCCAGACCAACAUGUAACAACAGUUUGUUCAAGUUUGUAUUCAAGCAUUUGCUAGAUUUAUCUUGAAUUUAGUUUAUUUUCCUGACUUUUUCUUUGAAUUAAAUUAAAGACUUUCCAUUCUUUUUCUUGACUGGUGGACUUGUGGCAGUCCAUAGUAUCACUGUAGACUAGUUUACCAUUCUUCAGUUUUUCAUUUCUUACUUGCAUAAUUGUUUUUCAGUGCUCUGGCAUCUCCGAGUGGAGCACUGGGCAGAUGAAGUAACUGUCUGACUGACUUAAAAAUCAAAAGGAGGGAGGGGAAAACUGCUUGUAAGAGCUGUGGUUUUGCUUGAUUACCUGUUCCCUUCUGCAUACUUACUUGCUGAUUUUAAGUUAUGCACAGUUUAGAUUUGUUGAAUGUAUAUUCUUUACUGGUUUAUUGUAUAGAAUUCCCACGUAUCGUUCAUGUAAAAGCUGGACAACUGGUGGAAGGUAGGGAAGUAGGUAGAGUACUACUGAGUACCAGUACUCAGUAGAGUACUACUGAGUGCUGGUAACAGUAUUCUAAAAAUAUGAACUUGGCCUAUUGAUAUCAUCCUAAAAUACAGAGGUGGGGUCAUGUCUGUCCUGUUAGGGCUAUCUGUUGCAAGGGUGAAAGAUCUUGCGAUGGCUGCUUUUCCAUCCAAGACCUCUUGCAUGUAUUGUUGAUUCCUCCCGCAGGCUGUUAAUAAUUGUAGAAUCUUCAACAAAAUGUUUUUUCAAAUUUUUAUCUAACAGUUACCAUUCCAUGACUGUUUUAAAUAGCCAUCUUAUGGCUAUUUAUUGUCUUGACUAAUGCUGGCAGCAUAAGGGGAUGCUUGACUUUACUGUGAAGUGUACUUUGUAAGACUGAUAUUUGCUAGAUACGUUAAUAGGAGGGAAACAGAAAAGAACAAGAUAGUAUUUAAAAGAAAGGAGAUAUAAUUCCAUAGUUUCCUUAUCAAUCAGAAAAUAAUCAUAGCUGAAAAGGCAAUUGGGACAUCAAGAAAUGGAAGGGAUAAUAAGGAAUUUUCUGACAAAAGAGGGAGAUGAAAGAAAGAAAAAACAACAAAACAAGCACAGUGUGACAUGUCAGUUCAUAUUUUUUUCAUUGAAGAGAUACAGUCCCGCCUACUUGAGUGUCUUAAAGAAAUUCUGCCAGUAGCUGUUCAUAUUUGUUGUGGUACCAUUCUUUUAUAUAUGUUAUUGGAACUAUGGUGUGGUUGUUUUUCUUAAUUUUCCUGUGUGUGUAAAUAAGGCACAUUCUUUAUUGCAGAUAGCAGCUAGUUUUCUGGUAGAUGCCUUUUAUGGUGCACUUACAUUUUACUGCUUCCUUAAUCAUUUCCUUUUUUGCGGCUUAAAAAGGCCUGCCACUGAGUUUCUAGGCAGCUGAGCUGACUUUCUGGAAGGGGUUUCUUUGCAGGGUUUCCAGUGUGAAGGAAAGACUGUAUUUCUUGAUGUGCUUAGGAAGUUUGAACCUGUCUAGACCUUAGGUCUGUUUUUCAGAGCUGUUCAGAUACGGAUUCCUUGUGUAGAUGUUUUCUUACUAAAGAAAGUGAGUUCAAGUGCUCGUUGAGUGUAGAAGGGCAAAAGAGCUUUGCAUGGAUCUGAGUUUCAGAGGGCAAAAUGUAUCAGACUGAUAGCAUUCUUCAGACUUCAGGUUUAUAUUGGACUUCAGUAUUAGCAGUGGUAUAGAAAUGUCUUAGUCUUUACUGAAUAACAGAUAAUGGAUUUGAUUUCUUCCUGUUCCCAUUCUUUGUGCUACUAAAUUUACUGAUGUGUGAUUUUAAUUUUUUCACUCCUCUGCCAAGCCCUAGGGGACGUGUGUGUCUGCCAUGUACUUCCAACUAUCAUCAUUAGCACUGUUAUCUCAUGUGACUGUGCGAGAGCUUUAAUCUUCUACGAGGUUGGUUUGGGUAUUGCUGCUAAAGCUAUAAAGGAAAAGCAUCCAUUCACCUUCGUGUGAAAUGGGAUGAUUGACGAACUCAUGAAUGUUUCCUCUCUGCUCUGACCAGAGUAAGAAAGGAAGAGUACCUUGGGCAGCCUAAUUUCCUGGUUUGAUAAUACACUGGGAAAAGAGCCAUUUGUUGUCUUUGGUGUUGUCCAUAUAUGGACAAAUCUUUUGCCGAGCUGAGUAAAAACAGUCAUCUUUCAGGAAAGAAUAGAAUGUUACAGGCUUUUGGGAAAUGAAGGUUUUAUAAGCAGAGGUCUAGCUUAGCAGAAUGGAUGGUUGUUCAUUUCAACAUGUUUCAGAAUGGCUUGGGGUCAGGUUUGUAUCCUGGAAGUGUGUUGGAGAAGAGUUGCAACUAUAGAUGUUAAGCAUGUUCAGUAUGUUUAUUCUUACACUAGUUAUUUGGCAGCCCUUGCAUUGAGAGGGACCACUGCUGAUACUAGUCUAGAUCCAAAGCCUUUCACUGCCUUUUAUUUAAUUUUGGAUUAAAGAUCAGGAGGAUGUUUAAGAUGAAGUUAAAUACAGGAAAGAUAUUUCAGUCUUUGACCAUGUAUGGCUCAGUAGUAUGCUUGUUUAUCAUUGCAUGAAGACCUUUAAUAGUAUUCCUUGAUGAUCAGGAGAGUCAAGCUGGGUGUUAUCACAAGAGAUCCAAGAACACCUGGACAAAUUUUGAGUUGACUGCACAACUGUGGUGCUAUUUUCUAGUGAUUCAAAAAGCUUGUUGGGCUUUUAUGUAUUUUUUCCUUUUUAUUUUGUUAUUCAAGGGGAGUAGGAAAUACCAAGUAGGUAUGUGCAUCCUCAAGGACCACAGAGCAAGUUUUUUUUUUUUAGUGUUGUUGGAAUGCAGUUAUCUUUUUUUUCAUCAGAUGACAGAUUUUAGUACAGGAAAUGGGGUGGGGGAAGGAAUACGUCAGACUCAUGUUUGUAUAUUAUGUUGUAUCUACUACUAUAGCUUCAUCUGGAUAUAGUGUUCCAUGUUGAGUAUCUCUGUUUGAAGCGUUAUAGAAAGAGACCUCUGAUUUCUGAUGAGGAACCCUAGACAGAGUCCUUGAUUUUCAGUAAGAGACUGUCUAGUGCUUGUCCCUGUGAUUGCAUUACCAAACGCACAAGCAUUCUGGUAAGGACAUUGAGGGGGAUCAUGCGGUAUAACAAGUGGCAAAAAUCCACCCUAACCCUGUAAGACUAUCGAUUGCUUUUAAAGUUUUCUUAGAGUUGUGUUGACAGUCCUGAAGAUGACAUUUUUGGCAGAUUAAAGCAGCUUUGUUUUUUCUCCUGUGUAUUGUGUUUGGUCAGAGAAGUAGAAAUAAGAAAGUAGGUAAGUUACAUACAUUUAUAUAUAUACACGUAUAUAUAUACGUAUUAAGGGUGAUGGGAACAGGCAGCUGAUUGCUUUAGGCAUCACUGAAAAUUCCAGCUGAGCUACUUGCUCAGAAAUAAAAUACUGAAAAGCAGAUUGCUGAGAUCUGACAGAUAUUUGAAGGAUUUCUCUUUUUGAAGGUAGAAGUCUUCCUAAAGAGGUGAAAUCCCCUAAAAUAUUUUAUUGUUAUUGUGUCAAAAAAGAAAGAAAGAAAGAAAGAAAUCAAAUUACCUUUGGCUGUUGAAAGUAUUGAAGUUUCAAGAGGGGAAGGAGAAGUGGAUAUGGGAGAUGAGAACACACAUCCUCUCUUUGAGACCGGGGUGUUAAGGUGUAGUCCUUAUAAGUCCAGAUUGUCUUUGUUAUCAGGCUGAACUUCAAAUAAUUAAUUUCUAUAGUCUGUCUGUAAACGUGUGGGGUUCUCUAAGCUUAACUGUUCUCUGUCAAUGGAAGAUAAAUGUGGGUUGAACUCAUCAGCAGUUAUCUAAAUUUUUAACCUUUUAUUUUUUCCCUGCUAUGGUGAAAGUGGUUUACUUCUUCAAGGAUUUUAUACGCAGAUUCUGAGUAACUAUUACUUUUGAUUUAUGUUUUGUGAUGAUUUUUUUUUUAAUUGUAAAAGACUUAGUUCUUUUGUUUUGCCUCUUAAAUUUAGUAGUGAGUGUCUCAGUUUCUUGGCUGUCUUACAGUGUUUAUCAUACAGAGCCAAUCUAGGACCAUUUAACAGAUCUUCAACUAUAAAAACUAUUAUUGCCUACUCUCGCAUUGCAUUUUAAAUAGAGCUUGUUUAAGUCUUCUUAUGUUUUUACUGUUAAAGCUUUGUGGAAAGCUGAAGACAGUGCUGCAAAUCGGUUCCUUAUUUCUGAAAGCAGGUGUUAGUAAUACCUAAUCACGUUUUGAAGAGAAAAUCCUUGUCUGCUUGUGGUUCUGUAGGAAACACCGGGCCACUUUUUCAUUGGGGCAAAGUUGUUAGGCUAGGAUCAGCUAACAAAAAGCAACUGUAGAUAUUUUUUCUUUCCCCCUUCUUAACAUAAAUACGUUCUUUGGAGGAGAAACUUAAAAGUAAUAGCUUCAUUUUCCAAAAUGGAAUGAAUGUGAAAACGCACGUAAAUUAAAAAUGUUAUGUGUUCAUUUUAUUUUUGCUUUUCACUGAUUUUUAAUUUAUACUUUAAAUUUAUAUGCUUUUUCAUAUAUUACACCAGCACUUUAUAAAGUAACUCAGUGAAACUAUAUUAACUGUUGCUGAGCCUUAGCUUUGCUGCAUUACACCUCCAGCCCAAGCUCUACGCAACGUUUAUUUAACAUAAAACUGAAGAUUCUGUGGCAUGUUUUUGAGAAGCACUUUGUUAAGGUGGAGCUGAAGAGUAUUUUAGGUUUUUCUAAUAGGAAAAGAAGUAACCACGUGAUUUAUCUGCAUCUGUUGUACAUAUUUUUUUUUUUCUGCUCACUUCUUGUUUUUCUACAUUGUGUGUAGUGUUUUCCAUAAUAGUGUAGUGUUCUCAUUCUAUUGGUGGCAACUUCACUGUCUGGAAACGAUUUCUGUCUCUCCUUGCAUCCUGUUAGAUCUCUCUUUGUCUUCUUUCUUGUGAUCUCCUGACUGAUGGGUAAUGCUAUCCAUUCUCUGGUCACCAAACUCAAAUGAGCUUCUUCCUUAUCCAGAUAGCUUCAGUCCUGGUUCCUCUCCAGGCUGCCACAGGCUGACCUCCUUUUCCUCAUCUGUUCUUUCAGCAUCAUUACUAUACUUAAGUGCUGCAUGUACAGAUCUGCUGAAGCCUCAAUUUUGGAUUGAAAAAAUGAGAGUUAGGCAGUUGCACAAGUUGGUGGGAAGCCUACAGGAGAGAUGACCUUGAAUUUCCACUCUACUUAAAGCUAGUGUAGGGGGUAAAGGAACAAAGUCACUGAGAAGCUUGUUGAGGAAGAGACAGGGUGAGCCUUAGGCCAUGGAGGACCUGGUUUCAGUCUGCGUCUAAUGAGCAAGUUGAAAGGAGGACAGCAAUUUGGGGUGUACAGUCAGAUUAUGAAGAACCACAGACUAUUUUCUCCUAUUAUAGCCUUGUUUCUUCUACCUAUUUUAUGGUCACAGGGUACUAGAUGGCCCAUUGUGAACGUCUUCAUCUGCUGUCCUUGGCUGAUAGCAAGACUUAACAUUAAGUAGAGAAUUGUGACUGGGAGCUUGUCUGCGGUAGCGUGUUCAGGUCAGAAGCAUGCAUUUGAGAUGACUGUUCUAAUUAUUCUCUUCAGCUCCUUAUUCACAUCAGAAAAUGGUUGCACAGCCUGUCUAUUGACUGGAUUUGUUCUAGACAAAGCAAAACUGGGUAGUAAGUUUCAGUUUGCUACCCAACAAAAAGUGAAUUUGGUGCAUGGGACCAGACGGAAUCUAAUCUGAAAUAAAAACUCACAAAGGAACUAGAGAGUACAAAUGCUGAGUCUUCACAGUUACCUGCUUUGGUCUGGAAAUUCACUCCUGGAAAUCUGUGCUAUGUUCUUACAUAGGCACAAAUCUGGUUUGCAGCUUAGUCUGCUUUGAGAAUUCAGCAACGCUAAGGAAUCUGUGGUGGUGGUGGUGGUGGUGGAAGGGGAGACCUGAGGUGUCUGUCUGGCAUUGAGUGAUACUUUUCUUUCACGUGAGUAUCUGAAUAUCGGGGUCUGCCAGGAAGCUUUGGUAAAGCGUGGUGGAAAUAAUGGAGAAUUUUACUUUAAGAAUAUUUCAUCAACCAUUGAAAAGAAAUCAGAUGGAUGCAGAUGAUGAUCCCUUUACUAUGGUCCUGUUCAAUCUGUUCAUGAUUAAUGUGUUUGUAAAACAGAGCUAAGGUUUAGAUAUUGCACUGUUUGGAGAUGCUGUCUUGGAUUUCAGAGAUUUAUUGAUGUUAUAAAUUUGAUUCUGCUGAACUGAGCCUACUUGAAGAAUUUUUAUUGCAAUGAGACCAGGGUUAUGGACCGUCGGAUGUAGUUAUGGAAAAGUUAGAAUAAGUGUGGUUACAAAAUGACAUGAUUCUGAAAUAAGAACUAAAAAAAAUAAUCCAAUGUAAUUUCAAAACACAAAUGACAAGAGAGGAAUAUUACAUUCUUAAUAAUGAAAGGUCAUUCAGUGCUCUCGCUGGCUUGUAGUCAAUUUGUAGACUGAACAACUGACAUUUUUUUCUGCUUUUCUUUAAUAUCAAUAUUGAAUCUGAUAGAAGAGUCUUAAUUUAAACAUAUGAGAGUUUCCUUGACAAAAUUUGUGAAUGUUUUUCUUGUUCUCCUCCAUUUAGCCAAGUGCAUUUUUUUUCCUAGCCUUAUAAUCACUAACAGACAUACUUGUUCUCUCUUUUUAUCUAACCUAACUAGAAAUGACAUAACCUUAAGCAGAAAUGACUGAAGAACACCCAUGUUCAUGAACUGUGAAUCCAGAUUAUGAAAUGCAACUUCUCACAAAAGGAGUAAUUCUAGUGGACUUGAUCUCUAUUUCCAGUGGUGUGAUUCAAUUUAGAAUUCAUCUUUCCUGUUCAUCUUCAAACUGUUCUUCAUCUCAAUAAAUAUGCUUUACUUUGUUUUCAAUUGACUUUCAUUUGUUGUUUCUGGCAAGGUGAGCUAAAUAAGAAUCACCCAAAUCUUGCCUAGUUCUUAAAGUAAUCAUGGGGAUAAAGAACCUGGUGUUCAAUACGUUGGUAGCUUGAUUGCUGUCAGGAUUCACUGUUUUCAUGUUCCCAGGCAGUAAAGCAGAAGACCAAUUCAGAGCUUCAAACUUGGCUUCCCCCUUACAACGGCAGUGUCGCUGGCUGGCCCUAGGAACGCUCAUUUGCAUGAAAUAAAUAAAGCUGAACAACAUGUCUUCUGCUUGGGGUUAUGCCAAUACAAGUUUAGUUAGGUUUGUGUUUGUUUUAAGACUGGUCUCAUUUGAAAUCUCAUGCCAUUAAUCAGUGCAACAUGGUAAUUACAGCAGGAAAUUAUAUAUACUGUCAAGUAAGUACAUGCUUAGCAAAAAAGCACAAAACCAAUAUUAUAAUAAGCAUGAGCUGUACCUCACUCUCAGAGUAACUUCAUAGUGAAGCUUUUGCUGGCUGCCAGGAGCUGGGAUGAAACCCUUUAUGCUGAUGCCCAAGCCUAGUGAAGUGAGGGUUCUUGACUCCCUGUAUGAUAUGGUGAGAUGUUUGUAGGAUGGUGCUAGUUGUCUUGCUGGGCUUCAUCAAUUUGUGUUUUGAUGAGACCCAUUUCUGUUACUUUUGAUGGAAUGCCAAAUGAGAAAAAGUAAUAAAAAUCAUGCCUACAUUUUAAUUGAUUCUACUCUUAAGUACUGUAUUUUCUUUUCUUCUGCUUUCAGUAGAUCACUGGUUUUACCUGCAGCAGGUGCAGCAUGUUCUAAUACUGAUGUUUAACGUAACCAUGGUCACAGUUACUUGCAAGUGUUUUGUUGACUGAUAACAAACCACUAUUCCAUCUUGUAAUAUUAUGUAUUUCAUUACUAACACUGUAAUCAUUUCUAGUGCAAGCAUUGCACUGACAUAAAAACAUACUAAACCAGGUGUUAUCUCACUUUUUCCUGGAGUAAUUAAGUAACACAUUCACAAAGUAUCGUGUAGGCUGACAAAUAUUUCCAUUAGGUGUUUGGCACUAUUAACAUUAAUGACUUCUGUUUCCUGCUUAAAAAAAAAAUAAAAAUAAUAAAACCCAGCAAUGUAUUAAUAGUUUUUUGUAUCCCUAUACUUUGCUGUGAAGUUGCUUUAAAAUGUUGUAAACUGUACAACCUAUUGAGUGAUAAAUGCUGUGCUUACACUGGUGUUGGCUAGGUUAACCAAGGCUGCCUUUGCCUCUAACAACAUAAGCUAACUGUCUAGAAAUUUCUGAAUUUUAGUAGUGCCACAUAGCUCCUAUAGUAUACAGCUCCUAUACUACCGUAGUAGUAGUAAUGUUGUAAUGACAGAUAACAGGAUUUUAUGUAUUGCUUCUUUGUGUAAUGUUACAUUGGUGCUGUGUUGGUGCUUUUUCUUUUAUAGUUGUAUUUCCUGGUUGUUUACAUUGAUGAGAAUGUGUUUGUAAAUAUAACACUUUUUACAGAUGUAGGUUCUUGUAUGGGCUUUUAAGCAGUUAGCUGGAAAACAGCACGGGUGUGCUCCUCUGAAGAAAUGAAUGUAAUGCAAGAGUAUAAAUGAACAUGAGUAUGCAUCUAACAGAUAGCAACUGCACAGCAGUAGAGCCUGACUUCACAUGUCCUUUUCAGAUGAAUUAUACCACCCAGCCACCAGAUUCUAUUGACUUUCUAAGGUCUGUGUGCAUGCUGAAGACUACCUUUCAGCUGUAGUAAUUGCAAUCAUCUCAGCUGUAGUAAUUGCUGUAGUUAUUGUGAAUAGCCAGGUGUUUUUGUGUUCUUUUUCUUCUGAAAAGUUACUGUAGAGUCUACAGUAAUCAGUGGUGAUGAAGGACCCUGGGCAUGCAUUCUUUAUGUUUCUUGUCCUAGUUAGUCAACUUCAUGUUUUGUACACAACAACAUAAAAAAAAGGAAUCUGUGUUUUUUUUAUUAUGGCUGAUAUCCAUUUCUCCAGGAUCAAUGUUUAUUUGGUACUGCUAAGCCAUCACUGAGGAAGUGCAAUUCUUGUUGUAAACUGCAGGAGAUAGACUUGUUAUACAGCACUUUGACUGUUAUUGUGAAAAUAAACGUAAGUGCAAAAUAAAUAUUGCUCUUCCUCCGUGAAUUGUUAUGGAAAGAGUAGUCACCAAAAUGUUAGGUUAUUAUCUAAACCUUCUCCCACCAAUUUUGGGAAAUGGUGGGGAGGAAAGCAAUAUUACCUGAAGACGAUGUUUACUUAAUUCCAUCUGAACCUUGGUCUUAUCUGUUCCACUUGUGCUGGCUUUUGAGUCAGCUUGCUUUUAGCAGCACUGCUGCUAAUAAUUAGUGUUGCUGAUUUUUAGAUCUUCUGUUUGCCAGCUCAAGGGAGGGCAAAGCAAAACAUUUCCCAUAUGCCAGAGAGCAACAGAAAAAACAUUUUGGGGGGGCAAGUUGAAUAGUUGGAAGAAGAGGAGGAAAUGGUCUAGGAUGCUGGCAUAUGCCAGCUUACAUUUCCCAUUGAGCUUGCCUCAGACUGAGCAAAGUUUGGUCUGCUCUUGGGUAGAAGAGUGAGUGACUAAAUAGCCCCAUGAAACUGGACAGUGGAUCUAAUAAAACUUUUUUGCCUCUGGUUUUGCUUUGUAGUUGUAAGAGAAAAUAACAUCUAACAUGCACGUGCACUUGUGAUGUAUUGAGUACUAUAUUUGCUUGUUCCUUUUGGAAAUCGUGCAAAACUGAUGUUACUUCAUAAGAAGGUGAAUUACAACCUUUACACAUUCUGAACUUAGCAUCUCUGUACCUCUUAACCACUGUAUUGCUUUUGACCUUCUCCUGUGUCCCAAAUACUCUCUUGCCAUGUCCCCUAAUGGCUGUGUGGAGAAGACAUAGCAGGCGGCAUGACUGACAGUGUGGGCUGCUUGGCUGUCUGUGUGCUGAUUGACUGGGCAGGCAAGAGAAAAUCUACAGCAUUUUUUUUUUUUUAAACUGCGUCACUCCAGUUUAUCCAGUGGCCAUAAAACUCUCAGGAAUGUGGUUAUCUUUGACAUCUCUAGCCUGGUGUCAGUUACAGUUGAAAUUCACUAAUGAGCUGGAAGUUGUUACAGGGCAAGAGUGGGGAGGCUGCUGAUCCAGCCAGUCAUGUAGUAACUGGGUUGAAGACGUGAAAAUUGGAGCCUUAUGUUUCUCCUCUCGACUCCUACAGUGGCUCUGAUUUCACAGGAUGCUUCCAGACCUGCUGGAGUCAAAUGUGGUGAACGUGAGAUUCGUUGUUUUCUUUGCAUCCACUUCAUUUUCCCCUGUUGUGGUGUUUGUGUCGCAAUCUCAGGCAGGACAGAGUGGCUGCUUUCCUGCCUGAGGAUGCCCAGUGCUGAUCUCUGUAGAUCAACAAACUGUAUCUCUGAUGGAAAAUGGAUGUGAAAGUGUUGUAACUAGCUAAAAUGCACUUAACAUCUCCUUUUGUGUGGUCUGCUGUACUGAGAGAAGCACAUACCAUGUAGCUCCAAGGACUUCAUAACAUGUGAUCAAAUGGACUAGAAUUCUGUUAGCUUGAGAGGUAAGUCUGUCUGAAAUCAUAUUUUUCGUUCCUUAUCCAUGCUGUUUGUUUCAGUGCUUCAGAGGAGAAGUGGACUUGUAAGACAGAACAGUUUGUGUAAGGAUUCUACUCUGAUCUUAGAUGUCUUGAUGGUUUUACCUUGGUAUGGCUGUUUUGAUAAUAGGAUUGGGAUUCCUGGAGUGCAUCUUUCUAUGUAGCUUAGCCAGAAGUGAGCCUCAUUUCAUGUCCUGAGACUGUUUGGUGGUAUGAAUCAAAAUGCAGCAAGCAGUGAAAUGGGGAAUUUCAUGUCACAGCAAACUCCUAAGCACAUGACGCUGCUGGCAUGAAUAUGAAUGCUAUAGGAUGCCUCUGGCAAUACUGUUAGCACAAAGAGCACUUUGGAUACAUCUGGCAUCCAAAGUAAUGUUUUGUUUCAGGUUCCCCUCCUUCCUCUGUGCAUGAGCAGCAGAGAUGGUAGCACUGGGCCUUCCUGGAUGAAUGUUAGGCUACAGAGAGUUGGCAAAAGCCCACAGCUUCUGUGAGUUGGAAGCCCCUCAUGUGGGCAGUGCCCUGCACUGGAACUGUCUGGCAGCAGGCAAGUGCAGAGGCUCUGUGGCUCCAUGUUGUGUAACCCACUCUUUUGUGUUUGCUGUCGGCAGGGUGGCCUGACUGUGGCACCAGUCCUGUGCACAGUGAUGGCAUUCUUGACCUCUAAUCCGUCAGGGUGAUGCAAAGCAGUGUCAAAGAGGACCACAAAUUGGCCUCCAGACCCAUGGGCUUGAAUACAAUAAAAAAAUAAAUUAAUUGUGUUAGUGGAGAAACUUGGGUGAGAGAAGAUGUUUUGUAGCCAGGACGUAUGGGAAGCACCAAAUGAGCAUGGGUAUCCCGUUGAAGAAAAAAAUAUGGAAGAUGAGAACUUUUGGGAGAUAAAAUUGGUAAGGAAGCUUUUAUGUGUUAAAGGACACUGUUUUUUGCUUUAUAAGCAUUUGUUGCCUGCAUGUGCAGGCAUUAACUGGAUUUGAAGUUCUUUCAGCCACUGUGGUUGGAUUUUUUUUUUGUUGGUUUUAAAUUUAACAUGUUUGCCACUGGUGAGAAGGUGCCUCAAAAGCCUGUUAGCUGAAAUAAAUACAUACGCUUUCUCUCUGCUUUCUCUUUCCAGGAGGCUGUCUAGGUUCUAAAUUACUUCUGUGAAUUUAAAGGAAACAUUUCACUUGUCUCCUUUGAAGUCAUGGAAAAAAAAAGUUACAUUUGAGAAAGAAGUUCCAAAGUUUGGUAUCUGUGAGGUUGCUGAAGAUAAGUGUCAAUCAGUGGUCGGCAAAGUUGGUGGACAUCCCAAAUCAGAAAUACUGCAGCUGAUGACAGGUGUUGGCAGGUAUUUGCCGACCACCAGAAGGUAGAAAGACAGGGCAAAAUGAAUUGUGACUGUGGGAAAGCUAAUGAGAGGUGAAAGAAAACAUAGAUUAAGCCAGAUCUACAUAGAUGGAAAAACAAAACUUUUGUUUGAGGAGAAAACAGCUGAUACUGAGUACUCCCUUUCAUAGCCUUAGCUUCCUUUGGGGAAACUAGCAAGCUUUAUGAAGAAAGGGAAGGUGUUAGCUCCUUUGGGAGGGGAAAGAAGGUAGAGCUGGUCAGCUGAAUGGGAUGAAUUAUCCGCUUUUCUAGGAUUAAAAAUUUUGUCAGAUUUUUUUUUUUUUUAAGAGACUGUGGGAUUUAAUGCGAUAAACCUUUGCUAAUAAGCAUGUCUCACUGGUUCAUUUGUGACUAACAGAUUUUUUGCAUGAAGAAGGUUCAGUUCCUGUUGUUUGCAGAAGUCAGUGCAAUGGCUUUGGACUUAGUGUUACUAUUUCAGUUUCUACUGUGGUCAGUGAAAGGUGCGUUUUGCAAUUGGGUACUGAAUGUUUGAUCAGGUUUUUUUCUACUAACGCUUUGUUUUCACACAUUUUUUACUUUUUCCAACUUAGCAAGAGGAAACGUCUUCAAAAUUUUCCACUCUGAAAGGAGUUUCUGUCCCUGCAGCCUUUUCUUCUUUGUACCAAUGGACAAGAUACAGCUUGCAUAUUUACUUGACUGAUUUGUCACUUCCAUCAUUGACAAUUGGCUAUUUUUGCAUGGAGGUUAAUAAAUAAUUUCUUUCCUCCAUCAAAAGUGAAAACUCUUGAGAUGCGUAAGAAAGUAGUCAUGUGCCACUUUUGAACAGGAAAAGCAUUGUAACACCAAAGAGAAAAGGUCUCCAGCUGAAAUACGGCGUACACUGGAACUGGUUUGUCCAGUGCCUGGCUUAUUUUCUCCUGUGUCUGUGAGGAAGUAUUACCUUAGCAUAACAUUGAAGGCUAGUAUUCUGUUGAAUAUGAAAGUCAUUAAGAUGAAAACCAAGCGCUCAGUAAAACCUUCAUAUGAGUUUGCUUGUAAGUGUGUUUCUGAACAACUCAGUUGUACUCUCCUAACGUGUACUCAGACUGCUUUAUCUGUUUUAGAAGCUGUUUUUCACUGGUCUGCAGAAAACAGUUUUCAUUUGGGUGGUCUCUGGUCUGUACAUAUACAGCAUGUAUAUGCAUAUGUCAGGGAAAAUAUAUUUAUGUUGUCUCUGUGGUGGAAACACCUCUGUGUCAGCGAGCUUGAGCAAGCUACUUUGACUUUUCCAAUUAGAGGUAUUUGCUUGUUAGCAAGUAAUUCUACUUUACAGGACAGUUUGUUCUGCUGCACAGUGCAGAAACAGUAGAGAAAUGCAAUGAGAGUGUCAUUCUGAUGGUAGUCAGAAUAAUGUUUCAAAAAAAUAGCAGGAAAGAAAAUACGGAGGAGGAAUGACAAGUAGUAGAGGGCUGCAGAGCUCAGGGAGUAGGAUAGCUUUCUUAUGUUUUUGGAGAGAAACAUGUUGAAAGGAAAGGAAGAAAUUAAGAUGUGUGAUGUCUGUAAUCUGAGCAGAAACAGUUUAUAAGAGUUGGAGGAAUGGAAAGUUUAGGAUUUUGGUUUUUUUUUUUCUUUUAAAGGAUUCCCAUCUGAAACUAAUAAAUGAGAGUAAAAACAAUAAAUAUCAGUGAAAUGCUAAACAUUAAAUAGUAAUUUCCCAUAAGCUGUGAGGCUCUGCUGACAGUACUUCGUGUGACAGCAUUUGUUAAACAAAACCAAUUCCAAUUUGAAUUGUUUAAAUUGGGCAGCACUUUGGCUGUUUACCCAUCAAAAUUCUCUUAAUAGUAGCACCUGCUGCACGCAACCGCAAAUACAUAGUGAAGAAACUCAUUAAUUACCUUUAAGUAAAGAUAUUUGAAAUAAGAAACACUUUCUUAGUUCUUAGUUUCUGGCAUUGACAAAAAUGAUAGAUGGAAGCAGGACCGUAGUGGUUAUUUUCAGUUAUAAUUCAUGAUCUUUUUUUCACAAGCAUAUUAGUAUAGAGUAUCCGUGAAAAGUAGACCUUGAGAGUUGUGUUUACAUUAGCAAAGAGUUAUGGAUACUUUUUCAAAAACUAAAUGAGAAAUAUUACUUUUCUGAGAACAAAAGAAAAAGAAAAUAAGCGUUUAACUUGUGUGUCUCAAAUCUCAGGCAGGCCUGACCCUGCCUUUUGGCCAAAGAACUCUGAUCCGGGCAGAACCAAAUGAGUAAUGUUUGUGGUGGUUCAAAUCCCCAGUGAACCAUUCUGAGCAGCUGCAAUUCCUAGUUAUUGGAAAACUCAGGUUUUGACUAAGACAACAGCUGGGGUCUGGCAGGUUAGGGAUAAUAAAACAAACUAACGUUAUCAGCUUGACAAUGGCAACAACUUUAUAUGUUGAGUAAGAAACUGUCAAUUCCGUAUUCCAGUUUUGCUUCUCUGCUAAAGGCAGAAAAAAUUGGCAGGAAAAUAAAUCCCCUGAAUACAAUUCACCAUUUAUUGUGAGGUAUUCAGGAGCAGCACAGUAGAAUUAAUUGGUAUUCUUUUGUAUUAAAGCAAGGAAAUAACUUUUGUCUUUGUUCUGCCCAAUCCACAGUUUUGCACGUAGUUCCUUUUAAAAUCUUUCUCUCAGACUAAUGCUACGCGCUUUACAGAAAUGCCUCUGGGGGUCCCCUACUGCACUUCUGGGGCAGGUGAUAGAGUAUAGGGCAAACCCAGCUUUGAAAAGGAGUCCACUUGUUCAUUUUUAAAGCUGCUUUAAUACAAAACAUGUGAUAGUUAAGACAAACACAUCACAUUCUUUGGCAAUCAAUAAAUUAUUAAAAAAAAUGAAGCUGUUGUGGUUAAAAAUAAACAUUACUUGUGCUUCAGUUUAUAAUACUACAUUUCAUAAACUUCUAGAAACAAUUCCAAAUGUAAAAGGAGGCAAAUGUUAUGUGUAGGCAGGAUGGUGGUUCACCAGCCAGAUGAAAAGCAAAUGCCAUUGCUUUUGGAUAUUAUUCCUGAGGUUUUGUAAUAUUUCUAUACGCUCACCUUCCAUAUGCGUACAUGCAAGAGCAGAGGGCUAAUCUUGUUUAAGCAAAACUCAAAAAACUUUUUCAAGAAAGAAAAAUAAUGUAUUUCCUUAAUUUUACCUAAAAAUGUACAUAGUAAUUCAUACCGGCACUCUAAAUAUAAUUCCAUCAAUCACUCAGAUCCUGGAAGGAUCGCACUCAGCUAGAUUUUGCAUUCCUGUGCUUCACCUAUUACAUUGAGCUGUGGUGACAGCUGGGCUGGAAAGAUGAGCUUGACUGCGUGUAUCUAAUCUUAAAGCUGCCUGCUUUUGAGUAAUACUCUGUUUACCUUCUGUCUUUCAUAUUAUUUUUCAGCCAUGGUCACAUUUCACUUUUUGUUGGGCAAUGAGAAAUACCCUGACUGCUAUGAAAUGUGUAUAUAAUGCCUUUACUACUACUACUAUAUCAGCUGUUAUCCUAACGGUUAUCCUUAUGGCUUCUAAAAGUAUAGUGGGUGUCAUGGCACUACUAGAGGAGCAAAUGGCCUGGCUUGCACUGACCAGUUAGCGCUGGCUUGCACUGACCAGUGAGCACUAAGAAGAAGGUAAGAUGUUGGGGACACAUGAGGGUAUAGAGGAUAGAUGCCAUUCAUGUUUCUAGUUUUUCUGGUACUGACUGCUCAAAUGCUUUUAGACAUUGACAGCAAAUUUGCUCAUCAAACAUCAGACUCAGUAAGAGGCACUACUGCAAAGCUAACCUGAUGCAAGGUUACAGGUAGGGCUUUCUUCACUAGCAGAGGCAUCUGUAGAAGCCCUGAGAUUUCAGCACUAAAUGUUCUGCAUCUUAUAAUAAUAAAAAAGUAGUGCUACAACACAGAAGGUUAAGCGAAGGACAGUUUGUGUCAAUCAAUAUUCACAGUGUUUUUCUAAGGUUUAUGAAGAGUUAGUACAUGGGCCUUGAAAGCUUAAGUUUUACUUGGAGUGUAUUUAAUGUUCUUGAAUUUAUAACUGGAGAGGAUCAUCUUUAGGUGGCAAGUAUUUGUAAUUGGGCUCCUUUGGUGAUUCAGUGUUACUGCACUAGGUAUACAUAUGGAAAUGCCACUGCUUCUUUUCCCUGUUGGGUUGGGUGAUUCUAUUAUUCUGUGACAUUUUGGAGAGAAUCUUACCUGCUUUUCUGUUUCAAAGAACUACCUAGAUUGAUAGCUUAAUUGAUAUGUAAGUCUGUGAAAACUAAACCCUCAUACUUAAUUCAGUGCUUGUUAGAGAGGACUGUUUUACUAGUUAGAAUCCGAGUUUCUUUUGUCUAGCAUGAGCUUGUCUGACUUUUACUGGGACUUCCAACACAGCCUGUUACUCUAUUCUAAAAGUGUCUUGGAACAGGCUUUUGUGAGCCCAUGACACUUUCUGUGGGUGCUGAUAACUGCACACUAAGCCCUAUGUGACUGUGUGUUGUGCUAUUUUCUUUCGUGUUUGCAUUGUCUGUUUAAUGAUGCUUCCAAGCAAACAGUUCUUGAGGGACUGAUGCCACAAUUUACUUCUCCAGCAUUGUGUCGUGAAAUUAAUUACAGAUGACAGCAGGUAAAAUACUGUCCAAAAUUGGUCAUGAUCUAACAGCAGAACUUGCAUCUCUACAGAGCCUAAAUUAAUAUGGAUCUGUACUUGGAUCACUCAUAUCUCAUUGCUGCAGGAUCAACUUUAAACUGUGUGUGCAUGAGACUUUCAGCUUAAAACUUUUGAGGAAGGAAUAGAGGAGGAAGAAGUGAUAUUGUUUACAUAGUGAUGCUGAGAUUGCUGUGGAGGCUUUCAUUUGAACCUCCUGAGUAUAUUUCUAUUUUAUGGUAUGUACGUAGCCACCAUUAGUAAGAUGGACUGUAAAAGUUAAGGCUAAAGAAAAUAGAAGCAAGGGAAUAGCGUAGUUUCUGUUGUUAGAGAACUAUUCAUUAGGCCAAUGAAAAAUAGAAUGCAAGUCCAGCUGAUUCUCAAUUCACAGUAAUUUAUUAAUCUCAAGAGUUUAUAACAGAUGGGUCAUGUUAGAUAAAUGUUGCUUCUCUUCAGUCACUAAGUGUACAAACCAGCAAAUUAAUAACAGGCUUUAGUAUUUUAUUUAUUUAUUUCGAAAAUAAAGCUAAUAGCCUAACAGCUACAGUUUCUCUGAAUAAAAAGUAUACUAAUGCUAUACAUUCUGUAAGCCAUAUAAACAGUGAACAGGGAAAACACAGUUAUAUCUUUAUAAAUGUUUUUGUAUUAAGUAUUCUUCAAUAACCUAACAUUUCAGGAAUGUGGGCAGUUCUGAUCCCUGUCUUUUGUUAUUACUCUCAAUAACAAUUAAAUAUUUGGAUCUAGUUAGCUUUUAAAAAGUAUAAGGGAAGAGAACCUUAAAUAAGGUUAAAUAUAUAUAUAUAUUUAUGUAUUUAAAAAGUUCUUAUUUAGUGUCUGAAUCAACUUGCAGCUUUUAUGUCACAGUUUGUCAGUGCUGUGCCACAGCAGCAGUUGAUCACUGCUUAUAUAUCAAAAUACUUGACCUCUAAUGGGCUAAGAAAUAAAUAAGCGAAUAAAUCAAAAUGAACAAUGAAUUCUUUGCAAUGAAACAAUUCAACUCUGUAUGUUAACAAUUAACUCUAUAUGUUGGGGUUUUUUUGCUGCUUUUUUUUUUUUCCUUUGCAUCCCAACUCUGUAUAACUUGAUGAUUCUGACUUUAAAAACCAAGACGUUUUUGUUUUUUCAUUCUUGCUUGGUUGAUUGACUAAUGGAAUUAUUCACGAUAGAUUAAUCACUCUAUUCAGCAGCCACUUCUCCAUGUGAAGGGAUUCCAAGAAAAUUUCUAAAAAUAAGUGAAUGGCAGUAAAAAUCAUAACUGUUUUGUUUGUUGGCUAGGCAUAUUUUUUUUCCUCAAACUCAUCGCUGUAGUCUUUUUAUCACAGUGGCCACUUUCCAGGUGGGGAAUUGAGAGAUUUAGGCCUAUAUUUUGAAAUGUAGCCUUAAAUUUUAUUUUCUAUGCCAGAGUGUCCCUCCUGACAAUUUUGGUGUGUGUGUGUGUGUGUGUUGUUUUAAUAGCGCUCAGAACACAGAACGAACCUAAAUAGAAAACAAACUAGAUGGUCUGAUGAUCAGGCUGAAGAAGUCUCUGGUAGAACGUGACAUCUGGAAUUGCUGGUUCCUACUGAGUUGUUUGGCCUUUCAGACUUCCUCAGUAUCUCAUGGGAUAAUGAUGUCAGAAGUGGAAACAUAAUUUUGUUCUCUAGAGCAAAUCUAUUUUUAUUAACAAAAAUAUUAUAAUUAGGGCUUCAUCAUGGUUUCCACUCCAAGAUCCUGGUUUAGAUGCUCGUUGCCCUCUAAAACUUUCUAAAACUUGAAGCUCUUUAGGUAGCAGUUCCCAGGCUUUUCUUCUGGCUGAGAAUAAUUACUUUGGGAAAUUGCAUUAAUACAGUUUUCUGCGAGGAGGAGAGACAGGAAAUAAUGAUAGCGACUUUGUUUUGAUUAACUCUCCAGCAAAACUCUGAGUCCAAUGUUGAAACUUGUACUUACUAAGGAGAUACCUUUGGAAGCAUGUCAGAUUUUGAUUCGACUGCAGUACAGAUUUUGAAAACUCAUGUAUCUGCAGAAUUUUCUGAAGCACUGAUCUGUGAAGUAUGUAUAGCAAGUAGCAAUGGAGUGCGCUAGUAUAUAUUUUUUUUAUGAAAGAAGCUGAACGUUGUAUCUGUGAGUUCGGUCUCCACAGGCUGCAAAUAUUUUGAUGAACGUGUCUCAAACAGUGAAAAUGAAAAUUAACUGAAAAAGACUUUUUUUCCUAAUAUAUGAGCGAUCUUACAUACUGUCAGUUUAGGGUCUAAUUUCAAGUUAAUGAGUUGAAGAUAACUUCAGCCUUCCAAAAGAAUUUGAAAAUACUGGAUCUUUCUGCCACUUGCAUGCUUCAUAUCAGUUUUUUUUUGUUUGUUUUUAAUGUUUUGGUGUUCUCCUUGUGCUGUGGAGAAAAAUACCCACAUUAUUUUAAUUAAAUAAUGCUCUUGCAUUUUGUUUUAAAUGUUAAUUGAAAGAUUUUUUUCCUCACAUGAGCAAAGCCCAAAGGGUUACUGUUUUUCUCUUCUAAAAGCUACUGACAUCACUCACACCUAAAUUACUGGGAAUUGCAUUCCUUCUGCCAAUUUAGGUUCUCCUAAUGCUCCCAGUUAUAGUAGAGGAAGUGCUGGAACCUGGAAACCAGAAUGCGAAUACUGGCAAUAUGUGAUAGCAGAAGUUAUUUUAACGUCAUUUUCAACUAGUUUCUUUGUAGUAUUUUCUCCUUAUAAAAUAAACUUCAGUUGGGAUCUUGUUUUAUGUUUGAAAUAAUUAAGGAAUAUUCCUGCUCAAUUUCUUGUUCUCUUGCAAGAAUGCUGGUCCUGGUUAGUCACUAAAGACGAGGGAGAGAAGCUGUGAAGAUUAGAGAAACAGCUUUCAACUUGGAAAGCAUUCAGUGUCAUCUUCUAGAGAACUUACAGUGAGCUAAGGGAAAACAGGAUGAAUGAACAUCUUUUGAAAGAAAAAGGAAUCAUUUCCUUCUGAAGAAGUCAUGUUCGAUAGUGAAGUUUGUUUGAUCUAAACUGAAGAUGUUGACUCGUUGUUUGUUCUGACUUUGCUGCACAGUGACAAAUGGUUGUUAAUCAGGUACAAGUGCUCUCAGACAGUUUAAAGAUUUUCAUUUGAAGGAAGUAAUUGUGAUAGUCUUCUCAUUAAAAGUUUGUUUUUCUGUGGAACAAGAGACUUUGAUUUGAAAUUUCUUUUUAUGUGACAAAGUAACACAAUGUUGGUGUCUGUAAACCUGUAGAAAAGACAGCAUGUCCCUUUUGCAUGCUAUGAAUAAGAAACUAGAUCUUGUUUAUAGAGUACGUUCUGUUUAUUUUUAUACGUGAGCAUGGGGGUAUUUGUCAAUGAAAGCCUUGUAGUUCAGAUGUGGAGAGUUACUCAAAGAAUGCCAUGUCACAGGUUCCCUACUCCUGAUUUCUUACCUCCAAGAUUUCCUACCUGGAGGUGCUCUGAAGCUGCAGAGGAGGGGGGUUUUUUGUUUUUUGUUUUUUUUUUUUCCUUUUGGUGUAUCAGUAAUUCUUUACAAACAGGUUGGAUUAGCUGUGUUUCCAUAUGGGACUGUAGAUCUAAUAAUAAAAUUUACAAAUCUACAGAUCAGAGCAAAAAAUGCAUUUAGGAUUUAAAAUGUGUAGUUUCCCAGAUUCUUUGCAGUCAUGGGCUACUGAUGUAUCUAAAGGCUUAGAAACAUUAGCUGAAGGGUAUUAAUACAUUUGUUGAGCUACUGUCAGUGGCUUUUUUAUUUUAAAGAAACUUUUAAAAUACUCCCUCCUCAUCCAUAGUGUUGUACAACACAUGCAUAUUAUAAUGUUGGUGUGUACUCUAAAUUCUAUGGAGAAAUGGAUGAACUUUGCAAUCCUAAGCUUUAUUAAUCUUAAUUUAUUUUCUGUAUACAAUGGAAACUUUAAUACUGUAUUUAAGAAAUACUGCAGGAAGUCAUUUCUGUGUUAGAAAUUUCAUAAGUAUUUAGUGUUAGUUAAUUCUAUAAGGCCAUCAUUUAGUCAUACUGUUCAGAUGCAGGACAGUUGUUUGGAAACUGAACAGAGUUGUAGAAUGUGACUACAAAGUUAAGAAAAUUCGAGUUAAUAUCAUGAUUAUUAUAUAACAAAAGUUGGUAAAAGAAGUCAGGGCACAUGGAAAAUGUGUAUUUUGUGGCAUUCUUUCAGCAGUUGAAGCUUGUAUUUAUCCCAUUGAAGAAAUAUCUCCCAAAAUGCAUAUCCACAAAUUAACGUUAGUUAGAAGCAUACUGCUAUUUAUUUUUUAAUUAUUUUUAUUUAUUUAUUUAUUUAUUUAUUUUGCUGGUAAGAAUUUUCCUUUCCAAUAAUAACAUUAUUUUUGGGCAAGUAUUGUCAGUAGCAUUUCAGAGGACUGAUUAACAGAAGACCUGAAGAAUGCAGACUGAGUGGAAGUACUGUCACGUGUAGACUAGGAUCAAAGUAUAACUUCAUGUAUUUUUUUUUUUUUAAUGUUGAAGGAGUCUCCUCCUAAGUAUUGAAAUGCAUAAAGCCAAUCACAGUUUUAUUUAGGGAUAAUCUUUUUCUGUUAAUGUGUUCCAGGUGAUGAUUUUCUGAAUGCAAGUUGGAACAUUUGUGUAGGAGAAGGUUAAUUAAAAGGAACCCAAAUGUGUCUGAGUGUAGUUAAGCACAUAUGCUUAAUAUUUAGUAACUUUACAUAUGUUUAACAAGCAGCUUUUCACUCCUUGCCUGAGGCUGAGGUCAGCCUAGAAUUGGAACUGAAAGUUAUUACUUAUAUAAACUCAAGCUGAGCUAUUUAGGAUAAAGGAUAGUGUUUGCAAUACAGGAGUUAUGCACUAACAUUUUGUGUUUGGGAAAGCAAGGACUGUAUAGCUCUGCUAGUGUUAAAAGUACAUCACUUUUUUUUUUUUGCCCCCCAUAUUUCAAGGGUUUGGCCCUUGCUUGUAAUUCAUCGUAUAAUUCUGUUUGCCUCUUAAAAUUCUUGUGUUUGCCAUGAGUUGUGUUUAUUGAUGUAAUGUCAAGGAGGGUUUCUGAGACUUCUUUGAUGGGUCUUCUUAAGUAACUAAGAUCAGCUAAGAUAAAUCUCAAUCAAGUGAGUCAUAUUGUCAUCUUUAACAUUUUUAGAAUCACACAGGAAAUAAAUUUUGUAGUAAAUGAUGGAGUGGUAUUUAUGAGCAGUUACUGUUAGCGUGUUUCAUGUGAAAUUAUGUGGAAGAUACUGGCAUAAGGGAUUGGCUCUGUGGCGGAGCCUGCAGGAGUCUGUUUGGAUUAUUUCCCAGCAGGGCUGUACCUGUAGGGCUUGGGGCCAGAAGCAAGCUCCUCUAGACUAAUGGGGAAGUUGGAUGCAGUUGUGUACUGCAGAAAUAUUGGAUGUCUCUUCUGGUCACUCAGAGUUCCAGAUCAUGCAGUCCAUGCCAGACCUUGGCUAGCUUCAGCUGGAGCUAUGCAGUUGUAUUUGAAGUUUGGUUUGGGCUCUUCAUCAGGCCCUUCUCUUGUCCAAGUUUUUCAAUGUUCCCAUGUACCCAAGCUCCACUUGCCCCAUCUAACAGUUGCUAAUAGAUGUAUAUCUGCUAAGGAAGGAGUGGGAAGAAGGUCAAUGGGUGGAACAAAAAGAAUGUGUGCAGUGAAGAGAAACCAACCAUCUGGUUUAUGAAUAAGUAAAGAGAAUAAACCCUGAAGGACCAAAUGGUAACAAGCACGCAGUUAGCUAGGGUUUCAGGGCUUGAAGAGUUAAAAAUUAAUUUAUUGUAUAACAAACCAUUGUAGCAUUUAUAAGUUCAUGGAAGUGCUUUACUCUGUGUUUUAAGUACGUGUUAACUUGAACCAAAUAUAGGUCCUAUAAUUUUCACACAGAAAAGUCUUUUUAUUCUUUGUGUUAUAUUCAAAAAGGAGUAGCCUUAAAAUUAAAGCUUGUUGCCUGUGUAAAAUCCUGAGCAUUUAAAGUUGAAUCCUGUUGUCAAUUUCAUACACGUACUUUCUACUGGUUUAUACGGAGUUGCUGAGCACUUCUUUUGCAGAACUUGGCCUGAAUUCAACCCAACUGCCUCUCCAUUGUUCAACUGAGAACUCUACUAUUAAAAAGUCCUUUGUUAAAAUGGAAGACUAACUUUAUUUUUUUUCUUUUUCAUGUGGUAUACCUGAUAUAGCCUAGGAUUAGCAGAAUGUGUUUUCUUCUGAGUAAAGCACUGUGGCUUUAAAAUGGAUGAGUGAGCUGCCAUGUGAAAUCAAGGCUGGGACCAGUUUCAAACGUCCAUUAAAAUUCUAUAUGAACCUUCUGGGGGCUCCUUGGAUCUUGCCACUUUGUGUGAAUAUUCUUACAGAGAGUCCUGAGCAGUUACUGGUAUCUGUCUCCCAGAACUGUUCUGUGAGCGUUUGUCUUCACCAGACCUGCGAGCUGAGUCAUUCAUUACAUGCUCCUUUCUCAAGGUUGUCAACAUGUUUGAAAGGCUCGUCUGGAGACUCUUCAAAUGUUUGUUCCCAGUUACAAAUAUUUGUGGCUUGCCUUAGAAUCCUCUUGGAUAAACCACAAGUGCUUGAGCCUAGGAUAACUACUUGAUGAAGCAUGCAUGACAAAUGUGUUGAUUACUUCUAUCUAAUUGUUAAUGAGCUUUAAAAAACCCAAAUAAACAACAACCCACAAACUGAAGAGAAAACCAGUACAGCUUUAAGGCCUGGAAGGCCAAGGGUUAGUUUGUUUUAUUGAGACUGGAAGGCAGACAGGUUUCAGAGCCUGAUGUAGACAAGGCCUUACUGUCUCCAUGGAGAAGCGAAAAGCUAAUACGGCAGUGCAAGAGGAAGUGUGCCUGUCUUGGUUUCAGCUGGGACAGAGUUCAUUUUCUUCAUAAUACCUGAUAAGAUACUGUGUUUUGGCUUUUGCAGAAAAAUAGUGUUGAUAACACACCGAUGUUUUGUAGUAGUUGUUACUGAGCAGUGCUGCACAGAGCCAAGUACUUUUCAGUUUCUCAGCAUCUCAUACUAUCCUGCCAUGAAGAGGGGAGAGCACAAGGAACUGGGAGGGGGUCAACCAGGACAGCUGACCUAAACUGGCCAAACUGUGACUGAUAACAUAUGGCAUCACACAGACCAAAAAAAAAAAAAAAAAAAAAAAAAAGAGCCUUGAAAAAUGGCAAGGAGUUGCCCAGGGGAGCAGUUGUAUAUAUAUAUAUAGUUAUCACUAUUAAGAUUAUUAUUGACUCUGUGGUGCUUAGCUACCUGCUGGUUUGAACCACAACAGUAUCUUUUGGGGAUAACUCUCUAUGGCCAUCCAUUGGCCUAGCUCUGGAUUAUCUCUCCCUGCUUUUUUGGGGGGAGGAAAAGCCAGUUUUGUGAAAACUAAAGCCAGACAAAACUGAGCGUUGCUGUCCUCCUAGAGAGUUCUUCCUUUGAAAAUCAAGCAACUCUGUUAUUUCUGCAGGCAUGCAAGAUAGCAGCUAUGCUGCUGGGUUUUACUAAGUGAGGUUUUUAUACUUUUCAUUUCAGAAAUAAUAGUUUAGAAAUAUUGCAGGCUUUUUUGAAACUUGAAGAUAGAAAGUCAUUUUUGUACAACAAUUUUGAUCCUUUUCAAAAUUUUGGUAUUGCUGUAGGCAUUCAUGUGUGGGAGUUGCUUAAAAUUCCUUAGAUACGUGAAUAUGCCUGCUGAAGUCAGUAAUACGUAAAUUGGACACAUGCUGACAUGUUUGUGUUCUAGGCUUCAGAAAAGAAAACAUUUUCUGAGCAAAGAUCUUAUUCGCUAAGCAUCUUAUGUGCCUCCAAACUCAAAAGUUUGAGUGUCUGGAAAAAUGCUGUAAGAUUUUGCUGGGAAAUUUGAUGGCAGUUUUAUUAAUAACAGAAACUUCUUUAGUGUGCUAGCAUUGUGCAUGUUCACGUACCUGUGUCAGUUAGAGCCUUUCUCUAGUGAACACUCCAGAUAAAUCUUAAACUGCAGUCCAGUGAUCAGUGUAUUGGUGUUUCUGAAAGUUAAAGGAGUAAACUUUAAAAUUUCACUUUGCCCCUGAAAUGGGCAGUUCAAUGUCAAUUUGAACUGUGAUAAUGUGAUCACUGUUGGUGUCCAAAAGGGCAAAAGGGUACUGGAUACACCAUAGUAAGGUAGCCUGGAGUUUCUGAGAAAAAUGGCACCUAGCUGGGAGUGUUCUCCUGC